This 317-nucleotide unclassified non-coding RNA is filed under the name Hevea brasiliensis (rubber tree). The record is from RNAcentral. Lineage: Eukaryota; Viridiplantae; Streptophyta; Magnoliopsida; Malpighiales; Euphorbiaceae.
UCUCAAUCCAUAACUGGAGUCUUGAUCACCUGCAGUAUCUGCACCACCUCGGUCAUCGACGGCCUGCUCGACGGUAUCUGCGACGUGCACACCAUCCCCAGCUUCAGCACCGGCAGCACCUCCUCGUCAGGGAACUGCCCCAUCCUCGGAUCAACACAAUCCAUCGCACUCCCCUGCUCCAUCAACACCCUCACUUGAUCAAUCAAUAUCACCACAUCCUCCUCUCCAUACUCUACCGCCCUCCUCCCGGUCACCAGCUCCAGGACCACCACUCCAAACCCAUAGACAUCACACUUCUCAGUAACCCUCAAACUCUG